RNAcentral lists this ribosomal RNA (701 nucleotides) under uncultured archaeon. Its description in RNAcentral is "bacterial SSU rRNA". It matches the Rfam family "Archaeal small subunit ribosomal RNA", at positions 153 to 857 of the family's 1478-position model. The record is from RNAcentral.
GCGAUAGAUCAAGAUAUCUGGAAUGGUUUUUGAUCAAAAUCUAUAUGGCCUUUGGAUUGGACUGCGUCCGAUCAGGCUGUUGGUGAGGUAAUGGCCCACCAAACCUGUAACCGGUACGGGCUCUGAGAGGAGGAGCCCGGAGAUGGGUACUGAGAAAAGGACCCAGGCCCUAUGGGGCGCAGCAGGCGCGAAACCUCUGCAAUAGGCGAAAGCCUGACAGGGUUACUCUGAGUGACUUUCGCUAAGAAAGUCUUUUGACACCUCUAAAAAUGGUGUAGAAUAAGGGGUGGGCAAGUCUGGUGUCAGCCGCCGCGGUAAUACCAGCACCCCGAGUGGUCGGGACGAUUAUUGGGCCUAAAGCAUCCGUAGCCGGUUUUACAAGUCCUCCGUUAAAUCCAGCUGCUUAACAGAUGGGCUGCGGAGGAUACUAUAAGACUAGGAGGCAGGAGAGGCAAGCGGUACUCAGUGGGUAGGGGUAAAAUCCGUUGAUCCAUUGAAGACCACCAGUGGCGAAGGCGGCUUGCCAGAAUGCGCUCGACGGUGAGGGAUGAAAGCUGGGGGAGCAAACCGGAUUAGAUACCCGGGUAGUCCCAGCUGUAAACGAUGCAGACUCGGUGAUGGACUAGCUUUAUGCUAGUCCAGUGCCGCAGGGAAGCCGUUAAGUCUGCCGCCUGGGUAGUACGGUCGCAAGACUGAAACUU